CCAAGCUCAAGGUUGAUCUAACAGAAUAUGUUGAGAAACAUGAAUUUGUCUUUGAUGCAGUGCUGAAUGAGGAAGUCUCAAAUGAUGAGGUAUAUCGUGAGACAGUGGAGCCCAUAGUUAUAGUUCCAAUAAUUUUUCAGCGCACAAAAGCAACUUGCUUUGCAUAUGGGCAAACAGGAAGUGGAAAAACCUAUACUAUGAAACCAUUACCUCUCAAGGCUUCACGGGAUAUUUNNNNNNNNACACUUAUAGGAAUCAAGGGUUUCAGCUAUUUGUGAGUUUCUUCGAAAUAUAUGGAGGAAAACUAUUUGAUCUUCUCAGUGAUCGGAAAAAACUUUGCAUGAGAGAGGAUGGCAAGCAGCAAGUCUGCAUUGUUGGUUUGCAAGAGUACAAAGUAUCAGAUGUAGAGACAAUUGGGGACCUAAUUGAGAAAGGAAAUGCUACUAGAAGUACUGGCACGACAGGUGCAAAUGAGGAAUCCUCUCGUUCACAUGCUAUUCUUCAACUUGCUAUCAAGAGGUCAGUUGAUGGCAGCGAGUCAAAGCAGUCAAAGCCUCCACGUCUGGUGGGCAAGCUCUCCUUUAUAGACCUUGCUGGAAGUGAACGUGGUGCAGAUACCACAGAUAAUGAUAAACAGACAAGAAUGGAAGGUGCAGAGAUCAACAAGAGUUUACUUGCAUUGAAGGAAUGCAUAAGGGCUCUUGACAAUGACAAGAGUCAUAUUCCUUUCAGAGGCAGUAAAUUGACUGAAGUUCUGAGGGAUUCUUUCGUUGGCAAUUCCCGCACUGUCAUGGUAUCCUGCAUUUCGCCAAGCUCAGGAUCAUGUGAACAUACCCUCAACACCUUAAGAUAUGCAGACAGAGUGAAGAGUCUUUCAAAAGGAAAUGCUCCAAAGAAGGACAUAUUAUCUUCAACCUUAAAGGAAUCGACCACUGUGCCCUUAUCCUCAGUUUUACCUGCUGUGUCUACCUUUGAGGAUGACACUGAUGCAUGGGCUGAACAAGACGAAAGAGAUGAUUUUGAUGCAUCUGAAGACUCCUAUGAACAAGAGAAACCAAUAUGGAAGGAGAAUGGGAAAGUGGAAUCAUACAAUCUAUCAACUUCAGAGGAUAAAAUAUGGAAACCCAAUGGUCAGACAAAAUGGAAGGAUCUGUCAAAAUCGGAUCUUAAGAACUCACAUUCAGAUGAUGAUUUAAAUGCUUUGCUACAGGAAGAGGAGGAUCUCAUAAAUGCUCAUAGAAAACAGGUGGAGGAGACCAUGAACAUUGUUAGAGAGGAGAUGAACCUACUGGUUGAAGCAGACCAACCUGGGAAUCAGCUCGAUGAUUAUAUUACUAGAUUGAAUGCCAUUCUUUCUCAGAAGGCUGCAGGAAUACUCCAAUUACAAAAUCGUUUGGCGCAUUUUCAGAAGCUUUUGAAGGAACAUAAUGUUUUAGUAUCUUCUUCUGGGUACUGAUCUCUUUGAAGUAUUGUUGAAUGCCAUGAUGAAUAGCUCUAUCUUUUAUAGUCGGUUGCAAGAUUGUCGGCCUGGAAGUGAGAUUUGGGUAUAUGCAUUUUGUGUGAUUGCUGGAUGAGUUACUGGCCAUUGUGUAUCUCUUGUAUUCUUUAUUUGGUUUGAGGGAUCGGAGAUUGAUUUAAGGUCCCAUCUCUCGUUUCAUAUCAUACUACCGGCUUAAUCGUCUUUAAAUUUGCUUAACGAGUUACAGGCAAGCAUUGGAUUACAUGCCAUUUGGCGAGCUCAUGUAAAGCUAUGAUGCACAACAA
This 1764-nucleotide unclassified non-coding RNA is filed under the name Hevea brasiliensis (rubber tree). Lineage: Eukaryota; Viridiplantae; Streptophyta; Magnoliopsida; Malpighiales; Euphorbiaceae. The record is from RNAcentral.